Molecule: microRNA precursor, 143 nt
Filed under: Vicugna pacos (alpaca)
Lineage: Eukaryota; Metazoa; Chordata; Mammalia; Artiodactyla; Camelidae
Description: miRNA (ENSVPAG00000016241.1)
Rfam family: mir-1302 microRNA precursor family (bases 42-93)
Source: RNAcentral
GAUGCCCAGUUCAAGUUGAAUUUCAGAUAAAAAAAAAAUAAUUUUUAGUAUAAAUAUGUUCCAGGUGACAUUUGGGACAUACUUAUACUAAAAAAUUAUUUACUGUUUCUUUUGAAAUUCAGAUUUAACUAGGAGUCCUUAUU